RNAcentral lists this small nucleolar RNA (132 nucleotides) under Castor canadensis (American beaver). Its description in RNAcentral is "Small nucleolar RNA SNORA51 (ENSCCNG00000016167.1)". It matches the Rfam family "Small nucleolar RNA SNORA51". From Rfam's summary of the family: ACA51 is a member of the H/ACA class of snoRNA that guide the sites of modification of uridines to pseudouridines. Lineage: Eukaryota; Metazoa; Chordata; Mammalia; Rodentia; Castoridae. The record is from Rfam by way of RNAcentral.
AGCCUCCUGGCGCUUACCACAGGCUGUGUUCUUACACUGACUAUAUAAGAUGAGAAGACAGAAUAAACCUACCCUACAUACACCUUAGUUCAGGCCUUGUGCAUCAUCUAUAGUGUGAAUGGGGAGAUGGGG